CGGUACGGGGUGGAGUAACAACGUGGAGUCAUCUACCCUGGAGGUGGGGAAUAACGCUGGGAAACCGGCGCUAAUACCGCAUAAUCCCGAGAGGGCAAAGGGCGUUGUGAAAACAGAGCCUCGCUUCAGGAGGAGUCCGGCGGCCGAUUAGCUAGUUGGCAGGGUAAAAGCCUACCAAGGCAACGAUCGGUAGCCGGCCUGAGAGGGCACACGGCCACACUGGCACUGAAACACGGGCCAG
RNAcentral lists this ribosomal RNA (241 nucleotides) under uncultured bacterium. RNAcentral describes it as "partial 16S ribosomal RNA". It matches the Rfam family "Bacterial small subunit ribosomal RNA", at positions 104 to 334 of the family's 1533-position model. The record is from RNAcentral.